Long non-coding RNA from Equus caballus (horse), 6305 nucleotides. RefSeq lists it as uncharacterized. NCBI's taxonomy places the organism in Eukaryota, Metazoa, Chordata, Mammalia, Perissodactyla, Equidae. The record is from RefSeq and is a predicted model, not a curated record.
AAAGAUGUCGACCAGGAGGCAGCCAGGAGAAGAGGGGACAGAGUCUGGAGGAGUCCCUGACACUAGAUGGGGCUUAGCUGGUUAUAAGGACUGAAAGACCACCAGUGUGUGAGGAACAAAGAGAGGCAGGGAAGAACAGGUCAGGGUGAGAGCAGAGAGGCAGGUGGUGGUCAGAGAGUCAGGAUACAAACAUUCACAGAGAGGCAGAACACUGUGGCCUUGGCAUCUAGGAGCAUGGCCACUGGAGUUCCAGGGUUCAAACCCUGCCUCAGCCACUUACAAGCUCUGUGACUUUAGGCUUCAGAAUGCUUUAGUCCCUGUGCUUCAGUGUCCCCAUCUCUAAACUGGAGAUGAUGAUAACGCUACCUACCUCCAGGAGUUUUUGUGAAGAUUAAAUUAAAUUAGUUAAUUCACAUAAACCACUCAGAAGAGUGCCUGGAACACGUUAAGUAGUAUAUAGACAUUUGCUGUCACUGUUAUUACGUGCUGGGCAUUAGUUCAGCCUCCUCAUCUGCACAAUAGGAAUAAGACUGCAUCCAACUUGGAAGAUGAUGGUGAAGGGUAGAUGAGAAGCACAGGUGGGAUACUUACAACACUACCUGAUAGGCGGGAAACAGGCAAAACAAGUUUACCGUCACCAUGGUUUUAUCUUUAAUCCUUUGCAGGUGAGGCAGAGGAUACGGCACUUCUUGGAACAAAUUUGCAAACAACUAGCUAUCCAGAAGUGGGAGGGGGUCUGUCAGGGAAGCACCCCCUCAUUGCAGGUAUGCAAGCGCAGGGCUGGACAGGGCACUCAAGCAGGGCAGCCGGAUGAGGGGCCCUCGCAGUCUCAGAAUCCAUGAUUCUACCUGUCUCUACCCUCUAUUUCUGCCCAUCUCUAUAAAUGUUCAUAAACACGUCCUGGAGGCUCUCCCCCAGACAGUAUUCCUCUCCUGCCUGUUCUCCUGCUGGAGCAAAGAGGUAUCAAAGCAAGAUAGCUCCUGUGCCCCAGGAGCUGACAAUGCCUGUAAAGAGCAUGUCAUUCAAGGGCAUACAGCAGUCCCCUCAGGUUGGCGCCCCAGCCUUCCCGCCCUCACAGAAUAAGGAGCACCAGCGGCCCCACCGCAUCAGUCAAGGUCACAGUGAAGCUGACGACCAACUUUCCAGGGAGGCACCUCUGAAGAAAAAGACUGAGAUCCAGCUCAGGACCCCCAGGGUCUCCGGAAGCAUCCAGCUGCUCCUCUCUUCCUCUGUCCUUGGGUGCAGUUAAUCGGGGCCCUCUAAAAAUAGCAGUGGUGAUUCAGGGAAAUACACGGUGCUCUAUCUCUGGGGAUGCCGGCACAGGCCUCCUUCAAAAAUAGAACCUCAAUCAGGUGCGCUUCCUAACUCCUUGUCUCUCUGUCUAGUCCCAAAAUUCUUCCGAAGGAUCCAGAGACAGGGCAGCAUCUCCAAAUGCUGGGAGAGCUAGAGCAGGGGUUCUCGCUUGGGUUUGUCUCCUUCCAAAUCCCUUGUCUGUUGGUUUCCACUUAAAAAAAUCCAUUUUCCUUUGAUUUAAAAAGUAAAAUAUAUUUAUUUUAGGUAUUAUAAAAAAACAUCAAAAGGUAUCUCACGUCUAGAAAUAACCACUGUUUUGAGUUUAUUCUUCCUCUCUCCUCCCCCCUCUAUAUAUCACACCACACACACACACACACACACACACACACAUGCACACUUAUUUAUAGAAUUGGGAUAGUGCAUUUUAUAUAUUUUUUUCACUGAAUAUCACAUCAAAAGUAUUUUGCUAUGUCAUUAAAUAUUCACCUACAACACAGUGUUUUAAUGUGAGUACAGUACAGAGGUUUAGCACAUAAGCUUUGCUUCAGAAAGAUCUGGGUUUACGUCCUGGCUCUGUCACUUACAGGUGUUGUGGCCAUGGGCAGUUACUCAAACUCUUUAAGCCUCAGUUUUCACAUUUAUGAAAUGGGGCCAAUGACAGUACCCAUCUCAGGUUGUUAGGAAGAUAAAGUACGGUACUUUCCUGAUUACUGCUCAGUAAAUGCCUGUAGUAAUAAUAAUAACAGCAGCAAUAAUAAACGCUAUUGAACUAUAAUUAAGUUCAACUGUAAUGAAGAUUCUCCGGUUGAUCGAUAUUUAGCUUGUUUCCGAAGCCCAUGUUCUCCCACCACUCCGCCCAUGUCUGGGAAGUUCUGGAAUUCAGAGAGCGGGCUAUGAUGGCAGCACCCUGGUUGCAGACCCUGCGGAUUAGCAGUACAUUCGCCGGUGAAUGGAGAGUGGGGGGUGCAAGUUUGCCAAGCCUCGCACAUGUGGGCUCCCACGGAUCUGUCUCUCACCUCCCCCAGGAAGCCUCGCAGAGCGCUGGGAUGCUGCAACAGGCCAGGCUCCCCUUAGACCCCCUCCUCUGGCGUGAGGUGAGGCCCUAUGCCUCCAGCCUAUAGUGAUACUUGGACAAGGGGCCUCCUCCUCCAAUUCUCAGCCAGAUUCCAUCCUGAUCAUCUUUAUUCUCCAAUUUUCUAGGAAGUUGAAACAUCUUUUUUUUCCCUAUUUGGCUCCUUUCACUGUGCCUGGAGGGAUUACAAGCUGGACCCUGAUGAAGAAACCAAGGCUCAGAAAGUGGCCCUGUGAGGUGGAAAGAAUACUUUUACUCCCGUCUGGUUGGAGGGAAUCAACGAGAGGCUAGGCCACAGCCAUACAAUUUCAGCCGAAACAAUGAGUUGACUUGUGUCCUGUGGCAUCAGCUGACUCCUCAUCCAUGAUGUUGGAAGAAGGCCAGCUGGAAUCCCAUCACAGCUAGUGUCUCCCUCCAGAACAUGCCAUAGCUGCCACAUCAGUGCUGAAAGGGGCCUUGGGGAUUUAGCACCAGAGCAAAUCUGGCCCAGAGAUGGCAAGGGUCACCCAAGGUCACACAUCAGAGUGAUGCAGGCCAAGCCUUCCAGGCUUACUCCUCAUCACUGUGUGGCCAUACUUGGUGCCCAUGUGGGACAUGGGAAUCCAGCAAAACCACUUGGGCAACUUCUAUUUUCAUCCCACCUUUCUCUGGCUCAGCUGGCACAUGGAUGCCUUUCAAUUCUGGGCUGAUCAUUCUUGACAGAAUGUUUCAAAGUCAAGGCAGGGGCAGGAGAGGACAAAGCUGUUGCUCCAGGCACAAACACAGCCUCUGAACUUGGUGCCUGUCAUUGUAAUUUCUGUGCACACUGGGGGAUUAUUCUGCCUUGAAAUACUUCUACCAUGGGCAUUACAAGUGACUCAUAGUCUGGUAGCCUCAACACUCAAGAGUCACCCAGGAGAGACACCCAUCAGACCUGGUUUAAUCAGUCCUAGUAGGAAGUAUGUUUGAAGGACAGGCUCUAUUAUGCCCCACACAGCUUUGCGAACUUAGGGAAUAAGGCCAUGCUACAGAAGGUCUGUAGGAAGGAGCUUUCCUUCUAACUGGUGCAGCAGAGCCCAUCACAGGGUUCAAGAACAUGAGCAACUCCAGAAGCAGGACACUGGACAACACAGAGACUAUGAGCUUAGCUGGAAGAUGGCAGCUGGGAAGUUUGGACUUGGCUACUUGCUGUCCUAUAAUCUUGUGGGUAGGGCCAAAAAUUUGCAUUUCUAAUAGCAAUAUGGAUGCUGGUGGUCCAGGGACCACACUUUGAGAACCACAGGCAAUAGUAACCUGCCUUGUCUUCCUCAUGGGGUUCUAGUGAUGGCUCGUUUGGAAGACCUGUGUGCUAGUGCAGUUCUGCCAUUUGGUGUGUAGGAGCCUCGGAUCAUCACUUACCAUCUCUGAGUCUCAGGUUUCCUAUCUGCAAAAUGAGAAUAACAAAUACUGUUUGUAUUGCAGAAUGGUGAGAGUCAAAGAGAGAAACAAAUAAGGCAAAAGAAUUUUAAAAAUUGUAGAGACUAUUCAAAUGUAAAGAGGAGCAAACAUUUUUGGGGCUCCUCCGUGAGUCAGAAGCUCUGUUAGAUGUCAGGAUAUGAACUUGAAUAAACCAGAAUUCCUGACCUUAGAGAAUCCAGGGGGGACUGGGGAAGGCAGAUAAAUGGACCACUGAUAUAGCCUGUGCUCCAGCAGAGCAGCACAGUAAGCUGCAGAAGGAUGGAGAAGAGGUGGGGCAAGUGGCUUAAACUGGACUUUAUCCUCAGGACAAAGGGAAACCUUUGUAGAGUUUUAAGGUGGAAAGUGACUGAUCUUAUUUGUUUUAUGGGAAGAUCAUUGUGGGCUGGGAAAUGGGUCAUUGGGAGGGGCAAGGCUAGAGGCAGAGAGGCAGGGAGUCAGCAAAGAGGCUGCUGCAGUGAUCCAGGGGUGAGAUAAUGGAGAGAAGUGGAUGCAUUUGAGAGAUAAGAUGUGUGGAACAAAGGCGGCAGCAGAACCAAGAUGGCGCCGGGUUUCUUGUUCACAGACUAAGAUAGGGAGGACCGGGAAGUGGGUUGGGGUGGAGAUGAGGAGCCAGUACCUGGCCAUGGCACUGCCAUGAAUAGAUACCUUAGCCCGUGAGCCACUGCCACUCUGACUGCCAGGUCUCCCCCACUGUGAGGGACUUUCUCCUGUCUUCCCUCCCCACGUCCUGGCAUUACUGAGCUCUGCUGUUCCCUGCCGCUGCAACGUGCAGCUGUGUCCUUCCCAUCCACAGAGUCAUCUCCAAAAUGAACAACAAAAGCGAUCAGCAAGCAAUCAUCUUUCUUUUCCCCUAUACAAUGCCUGGGUAUGCAGAUAAUGUUUGUGAUUGUUGCAGAAACGAUGGCAUGAAAAUUGGGGCUCCUGCCAAAAAAAGGAGGAAAAAAACCUAUUUAAAUAAACUCAAGUGGUUCAGACCCAGUUUGAGGCCUCCUAAACUGGGGCCCGAUAAGGUUCUCGUCCCUCUGCCCUCCAUGAGGUGGCGAGGUGCUUUGUAGGACCCUGGCAGGUUGGGACAGCCCACAGUGGCAGCCCCUGGAGGCUCAGGGAAUGACCUCAGGGAAGUGUUCUGGCAUCUGCUGUGAGCUUUGGGCAUUAAUGAAGGGCAGUUUUCUGGGCCUUCCACUCACAGCUUAGCUCCCAGCCAGCUGAGAGGAGGUGCUCACUGAGGUUCUGGGUGACUUUGAGACCAUCCCAGGCAGAAAGGCCGUGGACUAGAGGAGGCCCAUAAUGAUAAGCUGUCACUGUUGCUUUGUUUCAAGGAAAGCUGCCUGCAUCCCACACUGUGCUAUGAAGUUUACAGCCUAUUGUUUUAUUUAAUCCAUCCUCACAAUUGUCCUGAAAAGUGGGCAUUACUAAUCCCAUUUUACAGAGAAAGAAAAUGGAGGGAAACGUUGAUUAUGAUUUCACAGCUAGUAAACAGCAAAACUGGGAUUCUAGCCUGGGUUGCUGGAUUCAAAAAAGCCCGUGAUUGCACUCUAUUCAAAAAGGCAGAUAAUAAUAAGUAUUGACAAAGAGGUGGAGAAAUUGGAGCUCUCAAACACUGCCAGUGGGAAUGUAAGAUGCUACAGGCCCUUGAAAACAGUCUUGGCAGUUCGUCAAAUGGUUAAACAGAGUUACCAUACGAUCCAGCAACUCCUCACCUGUGUAUAUUCCCAAGAGAAAUGAAAAGAUAUAUCCACACGAAAAUUAGUGCUUCAACGUUCAGAGGAGCAUUAUUCAUAGUAGUAAAAAUGUGAAAACCCAAAUGUCCAUCAACUAAUGAAUGGAUAAAUAAAAUGUGGUAUUCUCAAUAGAAUAUUAUUUGGCAAUAAAAAGAAGUGAAAUACUGAUCCGUGCUACAACAUGCAUAAACUUUGACAACUUUAUGCUAAGUGAGUAAAGCUAGUUACAAAAGACCACAUAUUGUAUGAUUCCAUUUACACGAAUGUCUAGACGAGGAAAAUCCAUAGAGACAGAAGGUAGAUUACUGGUUGCCUAAGGCUGGGGUGCUGGGGAGAAAUCUAGAGUGACAGUAACGGGUAUGGCUAUUUUGGGGGGGAUGAUGAAAAUGGUCUGAAAUUGAUUGUAGUGAUGGUUGCACAAUUCUGUGAAUAGACUAAAAAGCAUUGAAUCCUACACUUAAAAUGGGUGAGUUGUAUAUGAAAUGUGAAUUAUAUCUCAAGAAAGAUGUCAUUUUUUAAAAGCCCCUGACUGAACAUUUAAAAAGAAAGAAAGGAGGAAAAAGAAAAUAACCAUGAUCUUCCCAAGUGAAAGCAUCUAGAGUUAUUAUUUUCAAUCAUUCAACAAAUCUUGAACCCCUGUUAUGUGCUAUGCACAUUCCUCUGGGAGCUUGUGAGUAGGAGAUCCUAGUCUGGGUGGAAGAGGCAGGAUGUGGGCACAGAUAAUCAUGAUUCAUGGAAGAAGCAGCCAAGGGAAUGUAAACAGGAGGAUACUAUUUCACACU